Molecule: ribosomal RNA, 684 nt
Filed under: Amanita kotohiraensis
Lineage: Eukaryota; Fungi; Basidiomycota; Agaricomycetes; Agaricales; Amanitaceae
Description: partial large subunit ribosomal RNA
Rfam family: Eukaryotic large subunit ribosomal RNA
Source: RNAcentral
GGAUGGAGCGUCAGAGAGGGUGAGAAUCCCGUACUGGACAUGGACUACCAGGGCAUUUGUGGUAUGCUCUCAAAGAGUUGAGUUGUUUGGGAAUGCAGCUCUAAAUGGGUGGUAAAUUCCAUCUAAAGCUAAAUAUUGGCGAGAGACCGAUAGCGAACAAGUACCGUGAGGGAAAGAUGAAAAGAACUUUGGAAAGAGAGUUAAACAGUAUGUGAAAUUGUUGAAAGGGAAACGCUUGAAGUCAGUGAUGUUGGUCAGGGAUCAAGCCAGCAAUUUUGCUGGGUGUAGUUCAUGGCUAAUGGGUCAACAUGAGUUUUAACUGGUGGAGAAAGGUAGAGAGAAUGUGGCACCUUUGGGUGUGUUAUAGCUCUUUGUCAUAUACAUCAGAUAAGACUGAGGAAAGCAGCGCGCCGCAAGGCAGGGUUUGGACCACAUUUCGCGCUUAGGAUGUUGGCAAUAAUGGCUUUAAGCGACCCGUCUUGAAACACGGACCAAGGAGUCUAACAUGCAUGCAAGUGUUUGAGUGGAAAACUCAAGCGCGCAAUGAAAGUGAAAGUUGAGAUCUUUUUGAGAGCAUCGACGCCCGGACCAGAACUUUUGGGACGGAUCUGCGGUAGAGCAUGUAUGUUGGGACCCGAAAGAUGGUGAACUAUGCCUGAAUAGGGCGAAGCCAGAGGAAACUCU